CUACAAACUCUGCCGAAUCCUAGAUCCCAAAGACUUUUUCCCUCUUUUUCUUCUGGGUUUUCAUCUGGGGCUCACUUUGAGUUCAUUUUUGUGGAAGGCAGGAGGCUUGAGUCGAGGGUGGCUUUCUCGGUGUUCCAACGCCAUUUAUUGAAAUGAUGAUGUUUUCUUCAUUAACUUGCUUUCGGAUUGGUGUCCAGUGUCACAAGAUUUCCUUUUGGGGGAACGGUUUAAACUACGUCGCUGACCUUAGAAGUCUGGGGACUGAUCAGAUCACUGCAUAGUAACGUGUUGCAGUCGUCCGUGGUUUUCACGGAAUUGCUUUAUUUAACCUGUUGAAUUUCUGUGCCUGAGGGUCUCAGGAUUCCUGCUGGAGUAUCUUCAGGGAGCUGUCGUGAUCAGCCACGUCCUUCCCAACAUGAGCCAUCUGUCUUUUUCCUUUGGCUAACCCUCUAGCAAGACUGGCCAUUCUUUUGGUAUCUUCGAGGAACUAGCUUUUGAUAGGAUUUUUGUCCAAAAUCAAAAAUCUUGGACUCCCCUGCUUUCUGCUGUUUCCUGUUUUUAUUUUAGUCACUGUCCCUCUGCUGCUGAUGGGUACGUGUUCUAGAAAUGGGAGUCAAGCUCAGUUGCUUCAAAGGUGUUCAGGUCUGUAGCAUUUUGGUGAAAAGACGGCUUACAGUUGCAUGUAAUCUGAUCGAUGCAUUUUACUUUACAGUCCGCAGUUGGGGUCUUAGGUAGCAAGAUUUCACCUGUCCCUGGUAGUAGUAGUUACUAUUUUAUCUUUUACGUGGACAGUCUACCGGGGGCUGUUUUGUAUGGCAUUUUAUUGAGGGAUUUCUGGAUGGUAGUAAAGACUAAGAGUACCUUUUGAUGCUGUUACUGCAAGUAUCGGUCAACCCCGGUUCUUUUUGAUGAUUUAAGGGGCAACAUGGUGCUGGGAGGGGCCCCUGAAUCUGACCCCGGUGAGCCCCAGGCUGUGGGGGUGGCCAGAGUCGGCCUGCCCUGCUCAGGAGUUAGCAGGGCUGGGCAGCUGCUGGGUGGCCAUCACCCCUGCCUGAAUGCCUUCCUCUCUAGGCCGCGCCCUCGAUCAUCUUUGCGGUGGGAUGGCACCUGUGCGUCUCCCCAUUUAGCUCUGGUGUCACUAGUGGGGGUCACGGCAGGGUUGGGGGAGGAUAGUGACCCCAGGCCAUGCAUCUUCCUUCUGAGGAAUCUGAACCUUGCCUGGGAGCUGCAGGGGUCCACUCUGACCUCCCUCCCCUGCUCUGGCCCAGGCGUCACCACCCCAGGCAGCCGGUUACUUUUCUCUAUUUGGGCAGGCUCUGGUACCCAGCUCUUUGACCAAGCACCAGUCUAGCUGUUCCCGUGAGAUUUUUUAGGGGUGCUCCACAUGACAGUUCGUCGGCUCUGGAUCACGGUGGUGGCCUCCAGAACGUGGUGACUCUCCUCUAACCAGUUGAAGGCUUAGGAGAAAGGCUGGGAUGUCGGAGAAGGAAGGAGCCCUGCGGGCGCGCUCCGGAGCUGCAGCCCUUACAGUCAGGUGAGCCGGCCUCUUCGGCAGGUCUGUGUCCCGCCCUCUCCCUGAUACCCGGCGGCCGGGCUGCUGGGGACAGCUGUGGCUCCUUUCACAGGCUCUGCUCCUCCGUGGCCGCUGCUUCCUGCCUGGCUCCCGCCCUCCCCAAUCCACCGUCUUUAGCAAAGGUCCUGGGGCUCGUCCUCAGGCAGCUGGGAGAUGCUCCGGGUCCCGGGGCUGGAGUCACCUCAGCUGCAGGCAGAGGCGCACAGGUCACUCUGGGCGUCUAACAGAGAGCUUGGACCUGCGGUCGGCCUGGGCGGAGGCCAGGACAGGUGUGCUCAGGUGGGGGACAGCCGUGGGCCUCAGUUCCUGUCUUUUCCAGAAGGAACUACUAGGCGACUUGCUCCCUGUCGUGAGGUGAGUGGGCGUCCGAGACACACCGGCCCACUGCCUGUGGGGGCACACGGAGCCCAGACUCGCCCACCGUGGCGCAGCCCCCCACCCUUGCUGUCUCUGCCGUGUGUGCUUGGAGCUGCCCACCUGGGGACAAGGGGCCAGGAGGCCACGUCCCCUCCUGCCAUCGGUGGUCCUCACGGGGGAGGUCCCUCUUCUCUGGUUCCCUCAGUAUUCUGUCACCCUCCCCCUCGGGCCCCCCGAGUGCGCAGGCAGACAGGGGCAGGGACAGGUGCUGGCCCCAGCAGGCCCGUCCUCAUGGCCACGCACCGAGAGCGCCCAGGUUCUCCGUCUGGAAGACCUUCUGCAGGGGCGGGAUGUAGAUCACGGCCAGCUGCCCCAGAACGGACCCCAGCACCGAGUACAGGAACAUGCGGUUCCGGAGAAAACCGAUCUCAGCUAUCAGCUUGGUCUGCAGGAGGGGGAGGACACAUCAGCGCUUCCCACUGAGAACAGCCCACUGAGAACAGCCCAGCUCGGGGCUCACCUGAGAGCGGCAGGUCAAGGCGUUGAAGAGGUCGAAGAACACAAAGCAGGUGAAGGUCAUGGUGGUGGCACGUGGGGUGCCGGCCUUGUCUGCGGGGAUCUGGAACACAGGCACGGGAAGAGGGGGUCCAGGAAGGCCGUGUACUUCCCACAGUGAAGUCGACCUUCACCAAGAGCCAGAGGCUGCAGCAGCUCCAGGGUGGGCCCGAACCACCCCCCCCAGCAGCCGUGAGCAGCUUCCUUGGGAACUGACCAGGACCUCCCCCUUGGGCUGGAGGCAGCUGCUGUUACAGGGGACACGUGGCUCAGACCCGCCCCCCCCGCCACGCCAGCCCCGGCCACUGGAGGGGCUGACAGCCCGUCCUCAGGAACCUGGGCUGCUGCCCACACCCGAGCUGAAACCUUGCACAGAUAAAGGGAAUGCUCCUUCCUCAGCGGGUGACCCUGCAGCAUGGAGGUGACGUUGCUACAGCCACACCCACGGAGCAGAAGGUCCCAGAGGAAGGCAGGGGAUGGAGACCGUCCCGGCUCUGGUGUGGCUGCUCGGACGUGAGGCAGAGCUCCCUCCCCUCCACACCUCCGGGCCGGGCCUGGAGCCGCAGGUGAGAGGGACUCAUGGUGGCGCCUGAACUUCCCCCUGCCCAGGGGAGGGGGCGAUGAGCCCGUGCUGCUUGGGCUUUGCACAGAGUCCUGGUCCAGCAAAUGACCCUCUGGGGGCCAGGGGGCGGGGGCGGGUGUGGCGAGUUAGAGCCUGACUCCGCAGUCCUGGUGGGCACCCAGGAGUCUGUGUCUCUGGAGUGGUGGAGGCUGCUGUUGGGGACCCUGUGCUCAGGAUCACUGAGUGAGUCCGGGAGGGCCUGGGUCCUCUUCCCCGCCAGGGGGUGCACACAGGCUGCAUGAGGUAGAGAAUCCCCACCUUCCCUGGCAGGUGAGAAUUUGGGGAAAAACAAAGCUGUUCCUCUGGGGGCGAGGCUCAGAAAAACUGAGACUCUGUGGGGACCCAGUGUCCCACGCCCCUUGGUGCAUGUGGCACCUUCCUGGUUCCCCAGUCAGAGCACUGCACCAAAAGGGGACCGGUAAGUUCCCACAAGUGAUCGUCUCCAGGGAGCAAACAUCCAGUCCUUCCUUCCUAGGAAAUGUCACAUUGUUUCCAGGACGGAACACCACCUCAGGUCCCAUUCAGAAUAAACUCCCAUUUCUGGCCAUGCCCGGGCGGCCUCCUGUCCCUCCGCCUGCCCCCCACCCCCCAAAGUGGGGUCCUGAUCCCCUGCCUUCCCUCCAGGACGGCCCCUGUACGCAUACGCGUGUCUCCCCUGUCGGAGGCUGAGCCCCACGGCCAGGCAGGGACCGUCCACAGCCACGGCCCGAGUCUCCCCCAUCUGCGGCUUAGCCAGUAGUGGCUUAGUGAGUCCAUGAGGACCGGCCUCACCUCUUUCCAGAAGAUAAAGAGUGUCCCGCUGAUGAUGACGGCCGCCGACAGCAGGGUCUUGAGGAUGAGGGCUCCACUGAGGACGGUGUCCUUGAUGUCCCGCGGCGGCUGCUGGAGGGUGUCUCUGUCCACGGGCUCUACCCCCAAGCUGCUCGGAACACGACACGGGCGCCCGGACGUAAGCCACUGAGAAGGGGACACUUCAGCCAGCCAGGCAGAGGCCGAACAAGCACAUCGGAGGCGGAGCCCGAACCUUCCAGGCCCUCUGGCCAGCUCCUCAGGCACCAGCGGCUGAGAGGUCGGGGCUCGGGGGGCCCAGCCCCUCCAGGCCGUCCACCCAAGCCCAGGCCAGUCCCGCGCUCACAGGGACUUCUCCGUUAGCCUCCCUUCACGUGCUCUGUCCCUUCCCCAACAGCCAGCCCCUUCCACGGUGACCCCGCCCCCAGCCUGGGCCCCACGGGCAGCCCUUCCCUUCACCAUCCCUGAGCACCGUGAAGGAAGACCCCCCCCCCCCAGAACCAGCCACACCACGGUCCUGGAACCACCCCAGGUCCCCUCUCGUGCUCAGGUAACGUCCCUCACAAGGGGACGCCCCAGUGGGCUGGAGAAAUGGGCUCCAGGCCCUGCCCACCGCAGAGCCCCCAGUGACGGAAGGACCCCUGCCUCCCGGGGACUGUGCAACAGCGGUAUUGGGGCUAGACCAGCAGGAGGCAGUGCGGGGGGGCACUGAGGAGUAAGUGGGCUGGGGGCCCCCCUCACUGCUGGCCCCAGGGGGACUGAGUAGGGCUGUUGCCCCAAGCAGCUGUCACCGGUGACGCUGAGUGAACGUGGGUAAUGGAGCGCGUGUCAGAUGCAGUCCGAUGGAACGACACGCUGUGUGCAGAGGUGGUCCUUCUGCCCCUUUCAGCCCGCCUAACGCUCCCUUCUCAGCCAGCCAGCAACUCGCUGACCAGCUGCUGUGUGCCAAGUCGUUCUAGGAGCCGGGGAGACUGACGGAACAACAUCACAAACCUUGUCCAAGGGGAGCUGCAUCAGAAUCAGAUAAGCAAGGCCAAGGACAUACAUGUAUAUUUUCUCCUCCGGGGAAAAACAAAGCAGGGUACGGUGAUUGAGAGCCUGGAGGCUGCUGUUAGGGUAAUCAGGGAGGACUUCUUGGAGGUGGUGACCUCACGAGAGGCACAGAGCCUUGGAGCUGCGCAGGAGCAUCCCUCACGGACCCUGGCUGCCCAGACAGGUGCUUCCUCCCCUGCACCGCAGUCAGCUUCUCUGGGACUCCUGGGGACAGUGACUGCACCCACACUCCGGGGUACAGUUCUGGCCUCCCGCCUGGUGCCUCACCUCUGUGCCGGUGGCCCGUCCAUGAUGAUGUUGAUCCACAGGAUCUGCAUGGCAUUAAGGGGGCUGGGUAGGUUGCACACGGUGGACAGAGUGAUGAGGCUCAAGGCCGAGAUGCUCCUGCGGGGACACACGCGGGCCAGUCGAUGGUGGCUCGCCAGAUGUGUGCGCAGCACCUGCCGCCACUGGGAGCUGCGGGCCUUGACUUACGUGCUCAGCUGGAACCGGACGAAGUUUUUGAUGUUGUGAAAAAUCCCUUUGCCUUCCUCCACUGCACUCCUGCGAGAGAGAGAGCAUUUAUUCACGAUGGUGUCAGCGGGGAUGGCCUCAUGCUCGGGUGCCCCUUCCUGUUUCGCUGCUCGAGGCCAUGCCCGCGGAGGACGACGAUGUCCUGUUGGCACCAGCAGGCGCUGGGGACUGGACCGUGAGCCGCAAUCCCCCUUCUGUCCCCAAACCGGCUUACUCUCCCGCCCACCUGGAGCCUGGGAUUCCUGAAGCAACAAACCCACCUCGGGGAGUCCAACAAGAGGCACAGCAAAACCAACCAAACCCAGACCUGCUCCUGAGCUGCUGGGGCGUGGCCGGGGGGAGAAUUGGGAAGCUGAAAAGUCAUCUAGAAAACUCUGCAGAAGUCCUUUAAAAAAACGAUCUCGAGGCAUGAAAGCAGAGAACUGCCCAAUCUUUUUUUCUACUAAAGUUUUUUGCAAAAGUAAAAAUGACAGCUUUGCUUACUAACUGCAUCUUGUGACCCCCCCCCCCCCCCACCACCACGGGGCAAGGACACUGAGGGCUGCUGCGGAGAAUCCGUUUGUAAAGAAAAGAUCCUUCUGCAAAGUCCGAAAUCACAGCCAACUUCAGUCUUUGUUCAGAUCCGUGGUAUUUUCUCCCGCCCCCAGUGACUUCAGUUCACUUAGAAGGAAAGACUUCAUUAGAACGAAUCAAAAUUAGAUCUAGAGGGCAGGCAACUGUUUUUAAGGAAACAAAAAAAGGUGAAGAAAACAGGUGCUCGGCCAUCUGGCAGCUGGAGCUUCCGCGCGCCUGAGGCAUCCGUGUGCACACGAGCGCGACCCCAGACUCAAACCCCGCGUUGAGCUCUACGGGGUGAGCACCUCCGGGCCUGGCCUCCGCGCGCUCCCGCUCUCGCUGUUGGCAGCCAGGGUGGUCUAGGAUUUCCCCCAGACGGUGCGGCAGCGACCGCACGGGCACGCGCCUCUGUCUGCGAGCGCCCGGUCCUGGCUCUCCCUCCGCUGCACCCUCGGGCUACAAAAGGGUUCGCUGGCCUGUGUCUGCAGCACCCCCGGCCCCGGGUGCUAUGUGAGCCGGGACACCCGUCUCCCCGGCACGACGGAGCCCCGGGGUGGGCAGCUGGUUACGCCAUGCGCUUCUGCCCCUAAAAACCCCACCUGCGGACAACUCACAUGAUGGCUGAGAAGUCAUCGUUCACCAGGACCAUGUUGGCGGCCUCUUUGCUAACGUCUGUCCCCGUCUGCCCCAUGGCGAUCCCGAUGUCCGCAGACUUGAGGGCGACAGCGUCAUUCACCCCGUCCCCUGUCAUGGCCACGAUCGCCCCACAUUCCUGCAAAGCCUUUGGAAAAAAGAGGUGAGUGGAGGCUGCAGCCCUUCCAGAACCUUCCUUCCCUUUGGAUGCUCUGCCUCUCCCUCUGCAUGGCCAACAGCAGAGGCCCCCUCUGGAGUCAGCUGGGCGGACUCUGAGUCCCAGCCGCGCCGGCACCCCGGGGAGCUGGCACUGUGGGAGCUCGGCAGGCCCCGAACCUCUCAGACUCAGCUUCUCCAUCUGCAGAGUGGGGACAGCCGUCCCUCCUCUGUGAGAGCCACACUGCGACGGCUGGUGUCGGGCUCCCUCUCCACUAACAAAGACGGGUCCACCGCUUUCCCCUGAAACCACGUGGCAGCCAGUAAGUCUUCAUGUUUGCUCUUAGGAGUACCACGCGUGCAGACUUGCUCCCUAGAACUACACCCGCCCCCACACCCCCCAUCAAGAGCAUCAAACAGCCCAGGCCACAGAGCACAUCUUCGGAUGCGCACAUGCGGGAGGCCAGGGCUGCAGCGGGGGCCCCCUCCCCGCGCGGGCAGGAGACCGUGUCCGCUCUGCUGGGCACCCGCUGCGGGCCGGGCACUGUGCUGGGCGCUCCACGGCCUGGCCCCUCUGUUCCUCUCACCGGCCUUGUUACCAGCUGAUGUCAUUCAUACGACCCCCUUCCCCCGUUUACAGAUGGGGAAACUGAGGCCUGGAGGUAACUAAUAAGAAUAACGCCAAAGAUCGCUCGGCUAACAGAGACCAGCUGCUUUGCCUCUCUGCACCACCUCGUUCCGGCUCCUGUUUUUGGUGUACGUGGCCAAGGUCCCCCUGUGCUCCUACCCCGGUUUGGGGACCGCCGAGGCUCCCGCCAGCUUGGGCCCUGGACCACCCGGAGCAGAGCCCCCGCCACCGUCCCGGACUGGCCCUGACAGACCCACGAGGCUCCCAGCUCACCUUUAUGAUUUUGAGCUUGUGCUUCGGGCUGGUCCUGAAGAAGACAGACACCUGGGCUGGGGGCCUUGAGACAGAGCGGGGAGCACAGCAAGGUGUGACCCUGAUUCCGGCAGCAAGUGUAGUGACAGGGAGGGUGCGGCCGGCCUUCUGCAGGCGAAGAGCCCGGAGGUCAGUGGCUCAGUGACUUGCCAAGGUCUCAGGGCUGGUGGCAGAAGCCACCCCAGAAGCAAACACGGGAAUGACGCUGCCUGGGCGAGGAUGUAACUUGAGGACGAUAGUCCCCGGGCCGCAGGACGUUGACAGUGGACACAAAGGCUCCCCUUCGGAGGACCGGCCCACGUUUUAGGGCCAGUCCUCUGAAGGUGGAGCGCUGGUCCUCGAAGCUCACGGUCACUGUGCGCCGACCGGACACGCCCCUGCCCUGCCCACUGACCUAUGG
Molecule: long non-coding RNA, 8146 nt
Organism: Mustela erminea (ermine)
Lineage: Eukaryota; Metazoa; Chordata; Mammalia; Carnivora; Mustelidae
Exons: 3
Source: RefSeq, a predicted model, not a curated record